AGUAUCCCCACUCACGUGUUCCUUUCUUCUUUCCUUCCACCAGGCCCUAAUCCCCCUCCCCAGCCAUGUCCUAGUCCCCAGGGCUUGUGGCCUGGAGAAGAAGUCACUGCAAGCCCCAAGAGGCUUCUCAAAUCCGACCUCUCUGCUCUGGCUCUCCUGCUCAGGUGACCCCACCUGAGCAAUGAGGAGCCUGAGUUUCAUGUAAAUAUUUAAUGAAGUUUCCAACCCGAUAGUAUAUCUCCCUGGGCUCUGUCCUGUACGCAUUUACAGCUGUUUGGAACCAGGACACCUGCUUUCCUUGGAACUCUAGCAGGGAGGAGAUCACUGAGCAGAUAUGGUCAGAUCCCUCCAAGAGCGCAUCCUCCAAUUUUGCUGACGUGCCAAGUUUUUCUCUUGGAAUUCCCUCAUGUCUUAGUGCUUUUCCGUGUUAAAGUACAAACACCUCUAAGGAAAAUAUGGUCAGUCUUUUUAACUAUGCUUUCUCUUUUAGAUCUUGCUUUGGGAGGAGGAUUUGAUGGGGAGGAGGAGAAGGAGGGAGGGAGAGAGUUACUUUGUAGGUCUGAAAAGCUGGAAAGUAUCAGAUAAGGUGAGCAAGGCUCAGGGAGGGAGAGAACUAGAUACGAAGGGCAGAGAUGAAUGUCCUCGUUAGGCAAUGCUCCUAUGCUUCCCUUGAGCCCGGCCUCCUCAUCUUGGAACCAGCGUGGGACUCCUCACAUCAGCCACCUCACAGCAAUCCCCAGGGUCUGACUUCUGCACAGUCUACUGCCUCGCGCCACACAUCUGCCCCCUGUUCCUGGAGCCCACACAAGCAGACGAUUUUGGUUUCUCCUAAGCCAUAACAAAGGUCUCAUCCCCUUUACUGGAUUCCAGAAGAAACCUGAUCACACCAAAAAUUCACGUGCUGUGUAGUCUUUCCUGAAUUCAUAGGAAUCAGCCUCAGAGCUCAUUAGCCACACAGAUAGUGCUCAGAACUUGACUUGAAAAGCAUCCUGCCCAGCACUUGUUUAUUCCACCUUUUUGUCCAAAUUUCUUGAAAGGGAGUCUUUUUCUCUAUCCAAGACCUUUCCCAUAAGGAUUUUAAUUCUUCGCUUCUUUGCACAUUGGCAAGUCCUUUAGUAUACAGACAAGCUUGGAAAUCAUUGUUAUUCAGAAUUUUGUUUUUCGUUUUCAAGGGCCUUGCUAUCCUGCCCAGUCUCAAAUGCGAAAGGGGGAUAAUGUGUUCCUCUUUUCCUCAGCCCACUGGGUUUGAGUAACUCUUUUAAUUCUUUGAAGUCUGUCGCAACAGAACUUCCUGGCCAUCAUCUGAUUAGGACUGUGGUAAGUAGAGUGUUCUUAGGGUGAUGUGGGACAGUGAGAAUAGCUCCCUUAUAGUAAAUGCACCAAUGUGUGGCGGGUAUCACAUCAAUGCUUCACAGAUAGGGAAAAUUACAUCACUCAUUCCUCACAGGGGAUCUUGAGGGAGGAAUUGUUACUAGUUCUGUGUCAUGAAACGUAUGGUUUCUUUAACAACUCAGUUACAUUAUGUAAGUAGGUUUUUGUUUUAAUCCCAAGUAUGGGGUUUUAGUUUGGGCUUUAUGUCCCACAGCUGAUAAUUGCCUCCUGCAGGGCAUGAUGUUUGCCAGCUGAUAAAGGCCUGCCUCAUGGUAGCACGGAUAGGGGCGUGGUCUAGGGCUCUGAGGUACAUCCUUAGGAGAGUCCAGAAAGAGAAGGUGUGGCAGUUUGGAGAGACCAGAGAUGGAGGUGUGGCAUUUUGGAGAGACACUGGGAAGAUGCUUCGGGGUGCAGCUCCUUGGAGGAGAGAGCCGGAGGAGAAUGCUUGCUGAGUUUGUUGAUGAGAUCCUUCCAGGAAAUCUCCUCACAGACCCCCCAGAAGCAGGAAUCUUAGUUGAUUCAAGGUCCAAUCAAGCUGACAAUCAAGAUCCUUGAGGAUGCUAAAAUUUAUUUAACAUCAGUGUGAACUUAUUCCUUUGUUUCUUUGUAUUUGUCUAAAAUGAUCAUAUAUAUGUUUGUAGAUUAUUUCAGGCUACAGCACACAAAAUAAAUAGCACAAAGAGAGGCCACAGUGGGAACACAGCUCUACACAAUUCAGGAUAAUGUGGUAAAGUAUUCUUCAUUCACUAAAGCCAUUAGCAGUGUGCUAAUUCAUCAACCAAAGAGUACACUAACUAAGUUAUUGCAUCAUUUGUAAGCUGCAGGCACCAAGUGGAAUUGGCCAAAGAGAGAACACGUGUGUGCUGUAAGUAUCAGGACCACAGAGGCAGGGCUGCCCAGGCCCAUUGAGGUUCACAUUAUGUCUCUAUAUGCCCUCGAUGCUGGAAAUAGAGUGUGUUGGUUUAAAUGAGAUGUUCCAGAUUUGCAAAAGAUUAGAUUGUAUGGAGGCCAGAAGCUUUCGGGCCUAGGAAUUGUUAUAUAGAAAUGGCUGGGCUCACCACUAUGGUUGGUGCUUGCUGUCAUGCUUUCCUGUCAUGGUACUGGUGAACUCUUAUUCCUCUAGAACUAUAAGCCUUGAAUAAACUGUUCCUUCUUGUCUUAGUUAGGGUUUUAUUGCUAUGAAGAGACACCAUGACCAUGGCAAUUUUUAUAAAGGAAAACAUUUAGUUGGGGCUGGCUUACCGUUUCAGAGGUUUCAUCCAUGAUCAUCAUGCUGGGAAGCACGGCAGCAUCCAGCAGACCUGGUCCUGGAGAAGGAGCUGAGAGCUCUACAUCUUGAUUUGCAAGCAACAGAAGGGGACUGUGCGCCACACUGGAGCUUAUAGGAGACCUCAAAGCCUGCUCACACAGUGUCACAGUUCCUCCCACAAGGCCACACCUUCUAAUAAUGUCACUCCCUAUAGGCCAAGCACUCAUACACAUACGUUUAUGGGGGUCAUUCCUAUUCGAGCCACCAAACUUCUACAAGUUGCCUUGGUCAUGGCAGAUUAUCACAGCAACAGAAAAGAGACUCGAGAUUCUUAAACAGUGCUGGGUUUAUUAAAACUACAGAUGUUUUUAAAGUUUUUAAACUACAGAAUGCAUUUUACCUUAUGAGAGGGCCCUAAGCCUUUGGGGCCAGUAAUGGAACGUUAGGAUUUUAUUUCACAGCUCAGUUUUAAAUGUUUGGUGCCUAGAUUCAACACAAUUUUUAAGGCUGUGGAGCUUUUAGCAGAAGGAGCCUUGAUGGCAGAAUUAAACCACCGAGGGUAGGCCUUUGAAGGCUGUACCUGCCCCUGGUUCUGGCCUAUAGGAUGUGAACACACACUCUUACCACGAGGAUCUGAGUCAUGAUGCUGUGCUCCCUUGUCAUGAAGGACUGUGACCCUCUGAAACUGUGAGCCAAAAUAAACUGUCCUCUUUAAGUUG
Meriones unguiculatus (Mongolian gerbil) is the source of this 3339-nucleotide long non-coding RNA. RefSeq lists it as uncharacterized. The transcript is spliced from 2 exons. The record is from RefSeq and is a predicted model, not a curated record. NCBI's taxonomy places the organism in Eukaryota, Metazoa, Chordata, Mammalia, Rodentia, Muridae.